Molecule: ribosomal RNA, 371 nt
Filed under: uncultured bacterium
Lineage: Bacteria
Description: bacterial SSU rRNA
Rfam family: Bacterial small subunit ribosomal RNA
Source: RNAcentral
UAAUACGGAGGAUCCAAGCGUUAUCCGGAAUCAUUGGGUUUAAAGGGUCCGUAGGCGGCCCAGUAAGUCAGUGGUGAAAUCUCCCGGCUCAACCGGGAAAUGGCCAUUGAUACUGCUGGGCUUGAAUUAUUAGGAAGUAACUAGAAUAUGUAGUGUAGCGGUGAAAUGCUUAGAUAUUACAUGGAAUACCGAUUGCGAAGGCAGGUUACUACUAAUGGAUUGACGCUGAUGGACGAAAGCGUGGGUAGCGAACAGGAUUAGAUACCCUGGUAGUCCACGCCGUAAACGAUGGAUACUAGCUGUUGGGCGCAAGCUCAGUGGCUAAGCGAAAGUGAUAAGUAUCCCACCUGGGGAGUACGAACGCAAGUUUG